GACGAACGCUGGCGGCGUGCCUAAUACAUGCAAGUAGAACGCACAGUUUAUACCGUAGCUUGCUACACCAUAGACUGUGAGUUGCGAACGGGUGAGUAACGCGUAGGUAACCUGCCUGGUAGCGGGGGAUAACUAUUGGAAACGAUAGCUAAUACCGCAUAAUAUUAAUUAUUGCAUGAUAAUUAAUUGAAAGGUGCAAUUGCACCACUACCAGAUGGACCUGCGUUGUAUUAGCUAGUAGGUGAGGUAACGGCUCACCUAGGCGACGAUACAUAGCCGACCUGAGAGGGUGAUCGGCCACACUGGGACUGAGACACGGCCCAGACUCCUACGGGAGGCAGCAGUAGGGAAUCUUCGGCAAUAGACGAAAGUCUGACCGAGCAACGCCGCGUGAGUGAAGAAGGUUUUCGGAUCGUAAAGCUCUGUUGUAAGAGAAGAACGGGUGUGAGAGUGGAAAGUUCACAC
RNAcentral lists this ribosomal RNA (465 nucleotides) under Streptococcus gordonii. Its description in RNAcentral is "bacterial SSU rRNA". It matches the Rfam family "Bacterial small subunit ribosomal RNA", at positions 28 to 469 of the family's 1533-position model. Lineage: Bacteria; Bacillati; Bacillota; Bacilli; Lactobacillales; Streptococcaceae. The record is from RNAcentral.